Molecule: unclassified non-coding RNA, 254 nt
Filed under: plant metagenome
Description: partial contains small subunit ribosomal RNA and internal transcribed spacer 1
Rfam family: Eukaryotic small subunit ribosomal RNA (bases 1-46)
Source: RNAcentral
AAGUCGUAACAAGGUUUCCGUAGGUGAACCUGCGGAAGGAUCAUUAUCGAGUUCAGAAUGUGGGCUUGAGCUGGCGCCUCGGCGCAAGUGCUCGGCCCCGCUCAUCCACUCAACCCUGUGCACUUUAGAGGUGUGGUCCCCCGCUCAUGGAGGCCGCCGGUCGGCGAGCUGGCUGGGAUGCGCGCUUCGACCUUCACACAAACCACUCAAAGUAUAGUGAACGUGAAUCGCGUUAGCGAUGAAACUUAAUACAA